This 454-nucleotide ribosomal RNA is filed under the name uncultured bacterium. RNAcentral's name for it is "partial 16S ribosomal RNA". It matches the Rfam family "Bacterial small subunit ribosomal RNA", at positions 28 to 507 of the family's 1533-position model. The record is from RNAcentral.
GAUGAACGCUGACAGAAUGCUUAACACAUGCAAGUCUACUUGAACUUCGGUUUGGGUGGCGGACGGGUGAGUAACGCGUAGAGAACUUGCCUCACAGUUAGGGACAACAUUUGGAAACGAAUGCUAAUACCUGAUAUUAUGAUUUUAGGGCAUCCUAGGUUUAUGAAAGCUAUGUGUGCUGUGAGAGAGCUUUGCGUCCCAUUAGCUAGUUGUAGAGGUAACGGCUCACCAAGGCGAUGAUGGGUAGCCGGCCUGAGAGGGUGAACGGCCACAAGGGAACGGAGACACGGCCCUUACUCCUACGGGAGGCAGCAGUGGGGAAUAUUGGACAAGGGACCAAAAGUCUGAUACAGCAAUUCUGUGUGCACGAUGACGUUUUUCGGAAUGUAAAGUGCUUUCAGUUGGGAAGAAAAAAAUGACGGUACCAACAGAAGAAGUGACGGCUAACUACGUG